AACGUACGCUGGCGGCACGCCUUAUACAUGCAAGUCGAACGAAGUAGCAAUACUUAGUGGCAGACGGGUGAGUAACAUGUGGGUAUCUUCCCUUUGGUGAGGAAUAACACGAGGAAACUUAGGCUAAUACCGGAUAAGACCACAUUUCAUAUGGAAUGUGGGAAAAGGAGUCUCAAUCUUCACUCGAGGAUGAGUUCGCGGACCAUUAGCUUGUUGGUGAGAUAAAAGCUCACCAAGGCAACGAUGGUUAGCCGGCCUGAGAGGGCGAUCGGCCACACUGGAACUGAGACACGGUCCAGACUCCUACGGGAGGCAGCAGUGGGGAAUAUUGCGCAAUGGGCGAAAGCCUGACGCAGCAACACCGUGUGAGCGAUG
This 375-nucleotide ribosomal RNA is filed under the name uncultured Nitrospina sp. Its description in RNAcentral is "bacterial SSU rRNA". It matches the Rfam family "Bacterial small subunit ribosomal RNA", at positions 29 to 410 of the family's 1533-position model. The record is from RNAcentral. Lineage: Bacteria; Pseudomonadati; Nitrospinota; Nitrospinia; Nitrospinales; Nitrospinaceae.